Molecule: long non-coding RNA, 264 nt
Filed under: Nicotiana benthamiana
Lineage: Eukaryota; Viridiplantae; Streptophyta; Magnoliopsida; Solanales; Solanaceae
Description: long non-coding RNA (NBEN_LNC005358)
Source: RNAcentral
UUGGCAGUAACAUGCAUUCGAUCCAACCUGUCAUGCACCUCUUUAAACGCCUUGACUUCAUUCUCUCUUACCCUUUGCAUAUCCACCCUGUUUUUUGAGAUAUCAGACCCUGUUUCCUUGGAGAUAGUAUGAAUGGCAUCCACAGUCGACUUGAUGUCGGAGAGUUGAGAGUCAACAGAACGCAGCUUAUCGCUGAGAUUUGAGGGAAUAGACGGAGGUGGAGCAACAAAAGUCGGCUUGAUUUCCUUAGGAGUGGGUUUGGCC